This is a long non-coding RNA of Clarias gariepinus (North African catfish), 592 nucleotides long. RefSeq lists it as uncharacterized. Lineage: Eukaryota; Metazoa; Chordata; Actinopteri; Siluriformes; Clariidae. The transcript is spliced from 3 exons. The record is from RefSeq and is a predicted model, not a curated record.
AUAGACAGUUACCUCAGUCUAGCAUGUGUCUUCAACCUAUCUCUGUCAGUUCUCACAGACCAAGAUGCUUUUACUCACACAGCAGAGGCAGAUCUCCCAGAAACCUCAUCUACCCUCCAGUACUGUCUCAUUGUCCUGCACUGGUGAACUCAGCUACACCGGCUGCCCUAUCCUCUGCCUAUGUAUUCUCUCACACUCCACGAGAAACUGGCAGAGGUGGUGGUACGGGUCUCCUGUUGUCCAAGAGGUGGUCCUUCUCGCCCAUCACCCUGUCUCAUCUCAGUUUUUCAUCAUUUGAAUUUCAUGCAGUUAAGAUCUCCUUUGCCCGCUGUCAUCUAAACCAAGGAAGAAAUCUUGUCCUGCUCCUUGGCUAUCUGAUGUACUGCGCAACAACAGGAGAGAAUUAAGAACUGCGGAGAGAAGAUGGAAGAAAUCACAGCUUGAUGCAGAUCUCAUCUCUUACCAGACUCUUCUUUCCAAAUUCUCAUGUGAUGUGACUUCUGCCAAAACUACCUUCUUCAGACAAAAGUUGGAAGCGUCUGCACAUGAUCCUGGCAAACUCCACAACAUCUUCUCCUCACUACUCAACCCA